UGGGGAAUAUUGCACAAUGGGCGCAAGCCUGAUGCAGCCAUGCCGCGUGUAUGAAGAAGGCCUUCGGGUUGUAAAGUACUUUCAGCGGGGAGGAAGGGAGUAAAGUUAAUACCUUUGCUCAUUGACGUUACCCGCAGAAGAAGCACCGGCUAACUCCGUGCCAGCAGCCGCGGUAAUACGGAGGGUGCAAGCGUUAAUCGGAAUUACUGGGCGUAAAGCGCACGCAGGCGGUUUGUUAAGUCAGAUGUGAAAUCCCCGGGCUCAACCUGGGAACUGCAUCUGAUACUGGCAAGCUUGAGUCUCGUAGAGGGGGGUAGAAUUCCAGGUGGAGCGGUGAAAUGCGUAGAGAGCUGGAGGAAUACCGGUGGCGAAGGCGGCCCCCUGGACGAAGACUGACGCUCAGGUGCGAAAGCGUGGGGAGCAAACAGG
RNAcentral lists this ribosomal RNA (429 nucleotides) under Chloroflexota bacterium. Its description in RNAcentral is "Chloroflexi bacterium partial 16S ribosomal RNA". It matches the Rfam family "Bacterial small subunit ribosomal RNA", at positions 355 to 776 of the family's 1533-position model. The record is from RNAcentral. Lineage: Bacteria; Bacillati; Chloroflexota.